AAAGCCUUAGCUUAAUGAAAGCGUUUGCUUUGCAUGCAGAUGAUGAGGAUUAAAUUUCCGCAGGUUUUA
This 69-nucleotide transfer RNA is filed under the name Xenocephalus elongatus (bulldog stargazer). RNAcentral describes it as "tRNA-Ala". It matches the Rfam family "tRNA". Rfam says of the family: Transfer RNA (tRNA) molecules are approximately 80 nucleotides in length. Their secondary structure includes four short double-helical elements and three loops (D, anti-codon, and T loops). Lineage: Eukaryota; Metazoa; Chordata; Actinopteri; Uranoscopiformes; Uranoscopidae. The record is from RNAcentral.